Non-coding RNA from Oncorhynchus mykiss (rainbow trout), 1219 nucleotides. NCBI's taxonomy places the organism in Eukaryota, Metazoa, Chordata, Actinopteri, Salmoniformes, Salmonidae. The record is from RefSeq and is a predicted model, not a curated record.
UUAGCCAAGCAAGGGAAGUUUGCAACCCCCUCAGCCCUCGUUUUUAAUUUUGUUUGCGAGUGUACAAUUAUGUUCACCUCGGGGACUGAAAUGCCCCAUAAUUAAAUUCGCAAUGAUUGUUCAUCCGCUAAGAAAAGUCCACCAAAACUUAAAACCUCAACAUCAAUAUGAAAUCAACAUACAAGUAGAAUAACCCUAACCCACCUUAUGGUGGCCGAGUGGGCUUGCAGUACGAGGCAGAGGGAGACUCCUCCACCGUCUCCCUACCAUGGAACACAGGCACAGGUGUCCAUCCAGGAGACCAUCUACCAGUUCCUGGGGGGCUGAUAGGGACGCAGACACCUGAUAGGGACGCAGACACAGACACCUGAACCGACCGACCUCUUCAGGGCAACGUUUUGCAUUGAGUGACCCUGGCAGCCAAUCAAAGGCGGAAAGAAGGACAGAAUGCCACAUUUAAAAUGUAUUAUAUACUGUAUUUCUUUGUCGUCAAAAUUUGCAAAAAUUAGUCUAGCGCUUUUGGAAUUUCUGAUGCUCCCAGAAUGUCUAGCUUUCAUUUCAAUGACUGUUAGCAAGCUGGACAAAAGUGAAGAGACUAUAAAUGAAGGUCCAAUAUAAUUUCUACAAACUUUUGAUUUGGUUUUAGUAAUUUCAAUGUCGAUAGACAUCGUUUUGCUGCGACAAAAAAAACAAAAAAAAAAAACAGAUUGUAUAGGCUCUCGGGCCUUGAGUUUGACAAUUGUCAUUCAACCGGUUUAAAAAAGCUGUAAAAUAUGUUAUACAGUGGUUGCACUUUAUAAACUGGUGUACUUUCAUGGUAAAUUACUACAUAGGGAUACUAGCUAAUGUUGACUUUAAAAACCUAUUCCAUACUUAAAUACCUUUUUUCAAUAUUGCCUGACAGUUUAUGAUAAGCAGACCGGAGAUAAAGUCACUCUGAGAUGUCUUGGAUCAUCCUUUAAAUCAGUGUUUCAUCGACCACCGGGAAAAAAACAGACUGGAACAAGAUCUGUAUUGGAAGGUCUCCUCUUUGGGAGCGACGACUGAAUGAAACAGCAAAAACUGUUUUACCAAUGAUAUGAUGCAACUUAUGCCAGUUUGACAAUUAGCAGUACUCAUUUUUAACGUUGGUACUAAAGCUAAUGAAUAAUGUUGUAAUAUCACAUGUAUAUAAUAACAUGGCCUAACAACGUGUCUGUAUACAGAGAACAGAUAUUGA